This is a long non-coding RNA of Xenopus tropicalis (tropical clawed frog), 937 nucleotides long. RefSeq lists it as uncharacterized. Lineage: Eukaryota; Metazoa; Chordata; Amphibia; Anura; Pipidae. The record is from RefSeq and is a predicted model, not a curated record. The transcript has 3 exons.
CAUCUCCCAGCCCCAAUUUGUUAGAAACUCGAAAAAGUUUUUCCUGGUUGCCUGCAACCAUCAGAGCCUCUUCUCCCAAUUUGGCCUAAAAGGAUAGGGGUUUUGUGCAAACUAGGGCAAGAUUCAUCCUUACCACCACAUGGCACAGGCAGACGCAAUAGUCAUCUGCUCCCAUUCCAGGUGGACGCUCCUCGUCUGUGCUCCACUCCCCACGGUGCGAUCCUGCAAUUGGAGGGGAAACGUUUAGUGGGGAGAAAAGUGAUAGAGGGUCACAUGUAGGUGGCAGUGAUGUGGCCUUCUUCUCAGAUGAGGAGCCGGCCAACAUUCCCCAGCAGCAGCUCCCAGGCCAGAGGAGAUAAAGUGGCCCCCCAGGAAUCUGAGAAAGAUAGGCUCCACAAAUCCAUAAUUAGGCAUCACAAAGCCUUGAUGAGAAAAUUGGAUCUUAUGCAUGUUGACUUGUGUGUGGCCACUAAUGCCUACAAUGCUAGUCAGGCACGGCAAGCCACACAUGAGUCGGCAAUGCUAAGCCUCCAGCAGGCCAGCGAGGCACGCAAAGCACAACAUGAGGCUGCCAUGUUAAGCCUGCAAGAGGAGCGGGUAGAACUCACAAGGCAAAAACUGGCACUGUUGGCACAACACAAUUUGCUCCUACAGCAACAAAUUGCCCUCCAACAACAGGCACAAAAGCCAACAGAACCAACAAGCUCUACCAGUCGAGCUACUGGUGAGAGCACAGCUCCCGCUCCUGCAGGUUGACUAGGCAGAAGAAAAUAGAUCAGACUCAUUAGGGAUUUGUGGAACCUAUCUUUUCUUAGGCAUAUGUUUUUUGUAAAGCUUUCUUUGUAGGUUUUUUUUUUGUGUUGCGGGUGGGGGAAUAACCUGCUUAAAAUAUUUAUUUUGUAAGUGGGUUCCCUGUAAAUAAACUUUUUCUUUUGGA